RNAcentral lists this long non-coding RNA (471 nucleotides) under Hordeum vulgare. RNAcentral describes it as "long non-coding RNA (HVUL_LNC009953)". The record is from RNAcentral. Lineage: Eukaryota; Viridiplantae; Streptophyta; Magnoliopsida; Poales; Poaceae.
CGGAGAAGAAGCACCAUGGGAACGUGAAAACUACCUAAACCCGAAACUUUGUAUGUUUUCAACGCCUAGCCUAGCAAUCUCAAGGAUGAGAUUCUUGUAAGGGGGUAGGCCUGUCACACCCUAAGAUUUGCCUAAUAUUACUAAGUUAACUUAGCUAAAAAAUUAGGGCCAACAAUUUUUUGUGUGUUUGCUUGUGAUGCUUGGUUUGAUUGUGUGUUUGAUUGUGUUUUAAAUCACGACAAAAUACUCCUUCUCUCAAGACUCCUCUCCUUGAUCUAAAUCUUUGCCCAAAGACCAUCUCAUGUGUAUAGGACCUAGUACUAUUUUAAAAAAAGUAUUAUUUUGACCAAAAAGCAUUUAUUUAAUUUAAGCUCUCAAAACCCCUUGAAUUGAGGUUUGUACCACGAGUCCUCAAAUUAGGGAGGAUGUUUUGCCCCAGAUAUUUUAUUUGGAUGCUAUUAUAAAAAAAAC